Molecule: ribosomal RNA, 448 nt
Filed under: uncultured bacterium
Lineage: Bacteria
Description: bacterial SSU rRNA
Rfam family: Bacterial small subunit ribosomal RNA
Source: RNAcentral
AAUAUUGCACAAUGGGGGAAACCCUGAUGCAGCCAUGUCCGCGUGUGUGAAGAAGGCCUUCGGGUUGUUAAAGCACUUUCAGCAGUGAGGAAGGUCGGAGUCGUUAAUAGCGGCCUCGUUUCGACGUUAGCUGCAGAAGAAGCACCGGCUAACUCCGUGCCAGCAGCCGCGGUAAUACGGAGGGUGCGAGCGUUAAUCGGAAUUACUGGGCGUAAAGCGCAUGCAGGUGGUUUGUUAAGUCAGAUGUGAAAGCCCCGGGGCUCAACCUCGGAAUUGCAUUUUGAAACUGGCAGACUAGAGUACUGUAGAGGGGGUAGAAUUUCAGGUGUAGCGGUGAAAUGCGUAGAGAUCUGAAGGAAUACCGGUGGCGAAGGCGGCCCCCCUGGACAGAUACUGACACUCAGACUGCGAAAGCGUGGGGAGCAAACAGGAUUAGAUACCCUGGUAG